RNAcentral lists this ribosomal RNA (438 nucleotides) under uncultured bacterium. RNAcentral describes it as "partial 16S ribosomal RNA". It matches the Rfam family "Bacterial small subunit ribosomal RNA", at positions 339 to 795 of the family's 1533-position model. The record is from RNAcentral.
CUACGGGUGCUCCAGUGGGGAAUAUUGGACAAUGGGCGCAAGCCUGAUCCAGCAAUGCCGCGUGAGUGAAGACGGCCUUAGGGUUGUAAAACUCUUUCGCUAGGGAAGAUAAUGACUGUACCUAGUAAAGAAGUCCCGGCUAACUCCGUGCCAGCAGCCGCGGUAAUACGGAGGGGACUAGCGUUGUUCGGAAUUACUGGGCGUAAAGAGUUCGUAGGCGGACUGACAAGUUAGAGGUGAAAUCCCAGGGCUCAACCCUGGAACUGCCUUUAAAACUGUCAGUCUAGAGACCGGAAGAGGUUAGGGGAAUACCUAGUGUAGAGGUGAUAUUCGUAGAUAUUAGGUGGAACACCAGUGGCGAAGGCGCCUAACUGGUCCGGUACUGACGCUGAGGAACGAAAGCGUGGGGAGCAAACAGGAUUAGAUACCCGCGUAGUC